Molecule: transfer RNA, 88 nt
Filed under: Lactobacillus delbrueckii
Lineage: Bacteria; Bacillati; Bacillota; Bacilli; Lactobacillales; Lactobacillaceae
Also listed under: 9 other names
Description: tRNA-Ser
Rfam family: tRNA
About the family: Transfer RNA (tRNA) molecules are approximately 80 nucleotides in length. Their secondary structure includes four short double-helical elements and three loops (D, anti-codon, and T loops).
Source: RNAcentral
GGAGUAGUACUCAAGUGGCUGAAGAGGCGCCCUUGCUAAGGGUGUAGGUCGGGAAACCGACGCCAGAGUUCGAAUCUCUGCUACUCCG